CCUACGGGUGGCUGCAGUGGGGAAUAUUGGACAAUGGGCGAAAGCCUGAUCCAGCCAUGCCGCGUGUGUGAAGAAGGCCUUCGGGUUGUAAAGCACUUUCAGUGGGGAAGAAAGCCUUGGGGCUAAUACCCUCGAGGAAGGACAUCACCCACAGAAGAAGCACCGUCUAACUCCGUGCCAGCAGCCGCGGUAAUACGGAGGGUGCGAGCGUUAAUCGGAAUUACUGGGCGUAAAGCGCGCGUAGGCGGUCUGAUAAGCCGGUUGUGAAAGCCCCGGGCUCAACCUGGGAACGGCAUCCGGAACUGUCAGGCUAGAGUGCAGGAGAGGAAGGUAGAAUUCCCGGUGUAGCGGUGAAAUGCGUAGAGAUCGGGAGGAAUACCAGUGGCGAAGGCGGCCUUCUGGACUGACACUGACGCUGAGGUGCGAAAGCGUGGGUAGCAAACAGGAUUAGAUACCCGGGUAGUC
This 465-nucleotide ribosomal RNA is filed under the name Vreelandella stevensii. RNAcentral's name for it is "partial 16S ribosomal RNA". It matches the Rfam family "Bacterial small subunit ribosomal RNA", at positions 338 to 795 of the family's 1533-position model. Lineage: Bacteria; Pseudomonadati; Pseudomonadota; Gammaproteobacteria; Oceanospirillales; Halomonadaceae. The record is from RNAcentral.